This 1737-nucleotide non-coding RNA is filed under the name Pongo abelii (Sumatran orangutan). The record is from RNAcentral. Lineage: Eukaryota; Metazoa; Chordata; Mammalia; Primates; Hominidae.
GGAAAGGCUUCGGAACACGCAGGAGAGACGUCUCCUUAGCCCACUGCAGCCCUCUGCCGCCUCUACCAACCGCGGGCAGCACCUUUGGUCGGCCUGGGGGUGAGGCACAGAGCUCCACAUCCAGGCAACUCAAGUGUGUGUGUGGUGAGGGGACACUGGGAGCGGCUGGACGACCCCCUCCUGCCGAACAGACAAGAGCCCCAGGACAAACUGGGAUGGAGGUCCUGACUGCAGCCUCUGGCCACCACCUCUCCGAGGAGCCAUUUAAAAGGACCAGCGCCUGCGGAGGGGAGACCCUGAGAACUUAAGCCUCAGAGUUGCACAAGUUUAAAAAGGGAAGUGCUUGAUUGGAUUGAGAGUUGACUCUUCAGUGUGCGGAAGUCCUGAAUUAUUUCACAGGGAGAGUUAGAAAAAAGCAAAGCUUCCCAAGGCUGCCAUUCACUUCUUGAGUCUAGAGGCACAUGAUCUUGUCUGGCCCCGUGGACAGCUGUUUUUUCGCGGGGUGGAGUGGGGGGUGGUUCAAACACCACAGACGCAAAACAGCCACAAGAAAACAAAGGCUUGAAGUGAUUUCUGCUCCCACCCCACUGCCUCAGUCUGGAGAUCCAAACUCACCUGGGUAGCAGGAAAGCUCCUUUUCUGCCCAGCUCCCAGGUUCUCGCUUCAGCUGCACGUCUGACAUUUGCCUCUGCAGGCACCGGCUUCACUGCUGUCACUCAGACAACUGUAAGCUACUGGUUGAUAGUGCUCAUUAAAAAGCUAUGAUAUAUACCUAUUGCAUCACUUGCCAGCACAAUCCCUGAGUGACCACUGAGUCCGGAGGGGCAUUUAUCCUAUGACAGUGCAUCAUCAGAGGUGUCCUGCCAUCAUCCCUGCAGGUAGGACACACAGGGCUCAUGCAGCCCCAUAACUCCCAGGGCCUUGUGUUCAUCUCCUUUACAGAUGCCCAGCCAUCAGUUUGGGUCCCAGCCUCAAGGAUCAGUUGAGAUUCAAGGUGGGUUUUGUUAUUAUUGUUGGUUAGGUCUUUGCCCAGAAUUUCAGAACCUUCAAUACUACCUCGUUUCCUGUCUCAAAGUUAAAAUUUCAUUGUAUUAUGUCAUUCAAGUCCCCACAAGGGUAGCUCUGUGGAGUGGUACAGGGGAGAGUGAAACUCAAGCAAUAGGGUUUCCUAGCUCAGCACCUACCAGAUGUUUCUGGUGACAUCCACCUGCAACCCCCAGCUCUCUGGCAGAAGUGGCUCCUAGGAGUUGCUCUUGUUGGAUUCUUGUUAUUAAUUGCCCUCUUGAACAGCUGUCAUGAAUGGAAUGGCUCUGAUCUCCAAAAGGCCAGGGCUUCUCAGGGUUGCUUCUCCACCACUACAGCCAAGGAAAAGGUAUAUAGGGUCCCUGCAGAGCCCUCUAGUGGUACCCCUCCACAUUAUAUGCCUCUUACAGGAAACCUUCCAAGACUCCUAGUGAUGAUACUACAAUAAGCCAAUAAGCCAUUUCCUUCUUCGGAAAAUUUAAACUCAAAUAAGCUUACAGCAAAAGAAUUACAUAUUGUAUAUUAAAGAGGAUAUUUUUACUACAAAAUAAUACUUCUAUGUGUUUCAUCAAGUUCAUCAAUAACAUUUAUUAUAUAUAGUAACUAAAACAAAUAUCACAUAAUAAUUGCACACGUUUUUGAGCACAUGCUAUGUAUUAUUUAUGUUAACUGUUUUACAUAAAUAAUUUCAUUUCCUACUCUCAAAAGCUCUGU